This is a long non-coding RNA of Mizuhopecten yessoensis (Yesso scallop), 2121 nucleotides long. RefSeq lists it as uncharacterized. The record is from RefSeq and is a predicted model, not a curated record. Lineage: Eukaryota; Metazoa; Mollusca; Bivalvia; Pectinida; Pectinidae. The transcript is spliced from 4 exons.
CAUUUGUAACCUGUAACCCAGCCAACCAUUACCUUACGUGUGGGUUAUUACGUACAGUAACCACUGAAGCGAUUGUACACAACGUAACAACUGAAAACCUAUAGAUAGGUAGGAGUUCGUUCUACUCUAAUCAUCCUACUGUGGAAAAUCAGGAUGGGACGUUAUAACGCUGGUUAUCUGCUGGUUCUGCUUAUGCUUCUGCUUGUUACAGAUGUUGAUGGACGCCGUAGUGGAGGACGUUCAGUCAGAUACUACCGCUCUGGCUACUACUAUGGCGGUGGCAGUACCGGGGGAGCGUCAACGGGCGGCUUAAACAGUGGGGCUAUCAUCGGUAUUGUCACAGGAGUCAUCGGGAUAGGCAUUUGUAUGCGUUAUUUUCCGCUUUGGGGACAAAUGUAGCACGUAGGAAACACAAAAUGGGCAGCACGUAUCAGCAUAGUUAAUGAUCCAUAUCUCGCUUGGAUACACAUCUUACGUUGUAAUAUCACACAAAAAAAAGUGAUUUCUUAACUUCUUGAUAAUGUUAACGAGAGAUGCAUUAUUUUGAUAACUUUAUUGUACUUAAUUUAAACACAGAUACAAACGGUGAUAAAUGAAUGCAUGUACUUUUUAUAAUGUUGUAUUUUUUCUUUGUAAUGUAACUAUGAAUUGGUAUUAUUCAUUUGAAUUAAAAGGUUUACUAUAAACAUACUUUAUGCACCUUCAACUCAAAGAUAACCCAACAGCAAAUUGAAGUUGAAAAUGGCCACCGAAGGUGACAUUUAAUGACAAAUUAUUACAUGACAUACAUUUUAUCACAAGUUAAUUUACAUAAUCUAGAUUACAAAAUGUACAUCAAUACACACUGUUUUGCUAAUUAUCUAAUUAUGACCUUUAGCCAUAGUGGGGUUGUAAAAAUCCGCCCAAAAUGAAGAAAUGAAAUUUUUUAGAAGGGUGGAAAGAGGGUGGGUUUAAAUUUGAUCCCGUAAACUGCUGUAUAAGAUACUGUUUAACUAUUUAUAAGAUAAAUAAAGUUCUCUCGUGGAGGCUGAACGCAAACUUUUUUCUGCUUAAGCUGGAAGUGACGCUACAAAGUGCGCAUGCGUGUUAAGAUUGUUCCCUAAUAUGGCUUGACCAAUCAAAUUAGAGGAAAAGUUUCUAAUCCGAUUAUAUAAAAUAAUUUGAAUUUGAAAUGCCUACUUUUUAAUAUAAAAUCAUACUAACAUAAUUUAAAAAUUAAUUCCCUAAUGAUUUGGGAGUAUAAUCAUGAACUGAGAUCAAUAGGUUUCUUUGAGUUUUUCAAGGCAUAAAUUAAGCUAAUAAAUUAGCUGCCUUUUAUGCUCCUUCAACUCAAAGAUAACCCAACAGCAAAUUGAAGUUGAAAAUGGCCACCGAAGGUGACAUUUAAUGACAAAUUAUUACAUGACAUACAUUUGAUCACAAGUUAAUUUACAUAAUCUAGAUUACAAAAUGUACAUCAAUACACACUGUUUUGCUAAUUAUCUAAUUAUGACCUUUAGCCAUAGUGGGGUUGUAAAAAUCCGCCACAAAGGUGUAUAUAUCUCAUCCAGAGGUGCAAAUGUACUGACCAUAGGGAGAAAGGAAAAGGACAUGGUAUAUGAUUUCUCAACUCUGAAUGUUUUAUGUUUUAUGGUUUUUUUUAUAACGAAUCAAGGCAGUUUGUUCAUAUAUCGGCUAUACAAUUAAUGUAUAAAUCUAUUAACUUUUAUUGUAUAUAACGAUAGCAAAUGUGAACCCUAUUUUUCUUCAGCAUUAUACAUGUUAUUUUCUAUAAAAACAGAACGAAUUUGUAUACAUGUCACUUGUGUCUCCAGCUUUAUUGAUAUGUUGUCAGAAUACAGAGAGAAGUAACAAAAGUUUAGCCAUAUACUUUACUUCAGCUUUAACGGGAUUGUUCAGAUGUAUAUCAAGCUUCAAAAUACGAAUGUCGACUUGAUUAGUAUUACAAUAUAAAAUCGAUAUGUUUUCCUCAAUAUUUAUCUCGUAUGAUUCCGCAGUAAUACUCCAGCUAUUAUUACGGAUUGUGUUCAAUAAGAUUCGUCGAUUAUUUGGAAGUACUUUCUUUCUUACUUUAUUUUCUGUUACUUGACUUUAAAUAAUAAAGGUGCAUUUUGUACUAGA